This is a long non-coding RNA of Neofelis nebulosa (Clouded leopard), 1605 nucleotides long. RefSeq lists it as uncharacterized. The record is from RefSeq and is a predicted model, not a curated record. The transcript is spliced from 2 exons. NCBI's taxonomy places the organism in Eukaryota, Metazoa, Chordata, Mammalia, Carnivora, Felidae.
CUUUUGGGAUGAGCACUGGGUGUUGUAUGGAAACCAAUUUGACAAUAAAUUUCAUAUAUUGAAAAAAAAUUAGUAGUUUUCCUCUUCCUCAAUAUAUACUUUUCCCCUCUUAUUUCAUAUUUUCUCCCUAGUCCCAAGACUGGCUUUUUAUGCUAUUACUCUUUAUAGUUUUCUACCAAUUCUGUAACGCUGAAGACCAUUUAUCAAAGAUGCUGUAGAAGAGGUUUGGGAUUAAGUAGAAGGUGGGCCCAGAGUUGACCUCUGUGGUCCUUCAACUCCAGGAUUGCAUGGUAAAUCAAGAAACAAACCAGAUGCAGGGAAAGAAGUUGAGAGAAACCAGUCAGGCUACUGUUGGUGAAGAGUCAGCUAAAGGCCAGUGAAAAGAAUUCCUCGCUAUCAAGUUCUCAUCAACAUGUCAGACAGAAUUAGGAUAUCCUCGACCUACAUUCCUGAGGAGGACAUAACAAUAAUUAUGGGAUAUGAAGUACAGCAUCCUAAAUUACAAACUAUUUUUCCAGGUCUUAUUUAUUUACAUUGAACUAAAAAUUAACUGUCAAGUAAGAACACUGAUACUUAAAAUAAGGUAAAUUGCUGCUCCAAAAAAAUGUAUUCUUUACCAUGUAACUGAAUAGAAUCCUAAAUUUUGUCGGUAAUAUUCAGAAAACUUGUAUAUUUAAUAGUAGUUCCUUUUACAAAGGUGCUUAGAAUAUAGUGGGUCUGUUUCAGAUAUCCUAAUUGGAAAUUUCUUUCUUUCUUUCUUUCAGAAAACAGCAAUUAAAAUUUGCUGCUUUCUGAAAGAUUUUUUUAAAAGGGGGUUCAGGGGCGCCUGGGUGUCUCAGUCGGUUGAGUGUCUGACUUCGGCUCAGGUCAUGGUCUCAUGGUCUGUGAGUUCAAGACCCGCUUCGGGCUCUGUGCUGACAGCUCAGAGCCUGGAGCCUGUUUCGGAUUCUCUGUCUCCCUCUCUCUCUGCCCCUCCCCUGCUCAUGCUCUGUCUCUCUCUGUCUCAAAAAUAAAUAAAACAUUAAAAAAAAUAAAAAAAAAGGGGGUUCAGAAAAAAAAUUUUGUCAGGAUUAAGUUUGGGGUAGGCUGAUUCUAGCAGGCUUUGUGGCACAGGUGCCCUGAGGAAUUCAUUGUGAGACUCUAGUAUAUGCCACAUGUCAGAAAUUCAGCUCUGUCAGCUGACAACUAAAUUUGAUACCGUUAGUCUUAAGGACAUAGGAUGUCAUACAUAAGCCAGUCCAAUCUUUGAAGGAUUUUUUUCUCUUUAUUGCUGUACAGAAUUGGAGCAUUGCCCAUUUUAUAGGCUUUUUUUUUUAAAGCAACAUCUUUAAAAAUUCAUGUAAAUUCUAAAAACUAUUUGGUAACUUAAAAUUUGUUUUUAGGUAUUUCAUGCUAAGUAGAAAACUUUACCAAAUAUAAUGGAACCAAAUUAUAAUAAAGAUACAGCUAAGAAAAUCUACAAAUAUAAUUGUUUAUUGAGUAUAAACAAUUUUUUUCUUGAUGUUGAACCCCCACAGUAUUUUCCUAUCCAACUGGAUAAAUAAAAGCUACAGUGGAAUUUAUUUAGCUUUGUUUUUUGGAAAUAAAAACCUAUCUUGAACUGUU